UACAGAGGUCUCAAGCGUUGUUCGGAUUCAUUGGGCGUAAAGGGUGCGUAGGCGGUGUCGUAAGUCGGAUGUGAAAUCCCGGGGCUUAACUUCGGAACUGCAUUCGAUACUGCGAUACUCGAGGACUCGAGAGGAGAUUGGAAUUCACGGUGUAGCAGUGAAAUGCGUAGAUAUCGUGAGGAAGACCAGUGGCGAAGGCGGAUCUCUGGAGAGUUCAUGACGCUGAGGCACGAAGGCCAGGGGAGCAAACGGG
RNAcentral lists this ribosomal RNA (253 nucleotides) under uncultured bacterium. RNAcentral describes it as "partial 16S ribosomal RNA". It matches the Rfam family "Bacterial small subunit ribosomal RNA", at positions 524 to 776 of the family's 1533-position model. The record is from RNAcentral.